GUCGUCCGGCACAUGGACGGGCUGACCAUACUGCGGCCGGCCCGGCUACCCUGGCGGCGUGCGUACUCCUCGGGCGGAGCCCGGGGGCGCAAAGCCGACAGCCGUCGCAUUCGAGGGAGCCCAUCCAUG
RNAcentral lists this small RNA (129 nucleotides) under Streptomyces sp. Amel2xC10. RNAcentral describes it as "Streptomyces-metH RNA". It matches the Rfam family "Streptomyces-metH RNA". The record is from Rfam by way of RNAcentral. Lineage: Bacteria; Bacillati; Actinomycetota; Actinomycetes; Kitasatosporales; Streptomycetaceae.